CGGGCGGCUGUGUUCAGUGAUGGGGAUCAGUGUGUUCGGGGGAGCCGCCGGUCGGACACACGGCGCCGGAUCCGCGGAGGAAUGAGCUCCGGAAAACACUUCAACACGUGAUUUUACCGACAGCAUAGAGCCGGCGUGAUUCUCCAGUUCCUGCAGGCGGAGAACACUUGAGGAUCACGGUGUGGAAGAGGAUCUUUUCCGCUCCCUCGUGGCAGGAAACUGAAGACCACAAGCCUCUGUUUACCAAAGGGAACUGACAGUUCAUUUGGGCUCUGGCACCUGGAUGAUGAACUCCAAAUGACGUCUCCUCCAGGGUGUGUGUCUCUCCCUGGUGGAACCAUGCAGCUGCUCUAGGGGGGUG
Molecule: long non-coding RNA, 361 nt
Filed under: Astyanax mexicanus (Mexican tetra)
Lineage: Eukaryota; Metazoa; Chordata; Actinopteri; Characiformes; Acestrorhamphidae
Description: lncRNA (ENSAMXG00005023646.1)
Source: RNAcentral